RNAcentral lists this ribosomal RNA (492 nucleotides) under uncultured bacterium. RNAcentral describes it as "partial 16S ribosomal RNA". It matches the Rfam family "Bacterial small subunit ribosomal RNA", at positions 29 to 507 of the family's 1533-position model. The record is from RNAcentral.
AGUGAACGCUGGCGGUAGGCCUAACACAUGCAAGUCGAACGGCAGCACAGUAAGAGCUUGCUCUUACGGGUGGCGCGUGGCGGACGGGUGCGGAAUACACCGGAAUCUACUUUUUCGUGGGUGAUAACGUCGGGAAAUUUACGCUAAUACCGCAUACGACCUAUUUGUGUAAGCAGGCGAUCUUCUGACUUUUCGCUAUUGUAUGAGCCGACGUCGGAUUAGCUAGUUGGCGGGGCAGAGGCCCUACAAGGCGACGAUCCGUAGCUGGUCUGAGAGGGUGAUCCGCCACACUGGAACUGAGACACAGUCCAGACUCCUACGCGAGGCCGCAGUGGGGAAUCUUAGGCAAUGGGCGCGAGCCUGAUACAGCCAUACCGCGGGAGUGAAGAAGGACUUCGGGUGGUAAAGCCCUUAUGUUGGGAGAGAAAAACAGCAGGUUAAUACCCCACGAUAAUGACAGUACCCAAAGAAUAAGCACCGGCUAACUUCGUG